ACGGAAGGCAGCAGUGGGGAAUAUUGGACAAUGGGCGCAAGCCUGAUCCAGCGACGCCGCGUGAGUGAAGAAGUAUUUCGGUAUGUAAAGCUCUAUCAGCAGGGAAGAUAAUGACGGUACCUGACUAAGAAGCCCCGGCUAACUACGUGCCAGCAGCCGCGGUAAUACGUAGGGGGCAAGCGUUAUCCGGAUUUACUGGGUGUAAAGGGAGCGUAGACGGUAUGGCAAGUCUGAUGUGAAAACCCAGGGCUCAACCCUGGGACUGCAUUGGAAACUGUCAAACUAGAGUGCAGGAGAGGUAAGUGGAAUUCCUAGUGUAGCGGUGAAAUGCGUAGAUAUUAGGAGGAACACCAGUGGCGAAGGCGGCUUACCGGACUGUAACUGACGUUGAGGCUCGAAAGCGUGGGGAGCAAACAGGAUUAGAUACCCUGGUA
RNAcentral lists this ribosomal RNA (434 nucleotides) under uncultured Lachnospiraceae bacterium. RNAcentral describes it as "bacterial SSU rRNA". It matches the Rfam family "Bacterial small subunit ribosomal RNA", at positions 341 to 792 of the family's 1533-position model. The record is from RNAcentral. Lineage: Bacteria; Bacillati; Bacillota; Clostridia; Lachnospirales; Lachnospiraceae.